RNAcentral lists this transfer RNA (72 nucleotides) under Calamus penna (sheepshead porgy). Its description in RNAcentral is "tRNA-Val". It matches the Rfam family "tRNA". Rfam says of the family: Transfer RNA (tRNA) molecules are approximately 80 nucleotides in length. Their secondary structure includes four short double-helical elements and three loops (D, anti-codon, and T loops). Further hydrogen bonds mediate the characteristic L-shaped molecular structure. tRNAs have two regions of fundamental functional importance: the anti-codon, which is responsible for specific mRNA codon recognition, and the 3' end, to which the tRNAs corresponding amino acid is attached (by aminoacyl-tRNA synthetases). tRNAs cope with the degeneracy of the genetic code in two manners: having more than one tRNA (with a specific anti-codon) for a particular amino acid; and 'wobble' base-pairing, i.e. permitting non-standard base-pairing at the 3rd anti-codon position. Lineage: Eukaryota; Metazoa; Chordata; Actinopteri; Spariformes; Sparidae. The record is from RNAcentral.
CAGAGCAUAGCUAAAUUAGUAUAGCACCUCUCUUACACUGAGGAGAUAUCCGUUCGAAUCGGAUUGCCCUGA